AGACCAGAUUUCAUGGGAGAAGACCAGAUUUCACAGCCCCGAUGCAUUUUUCAUGACUGUGAAUUUGGUAGGGCCCUAAUCCUUGGGAUAGAUUAGGAAAUGAUGUUGUAAAUUUUUACCACAAUUCUGGUUCUGCCACCCAUUUAAGUGAAGGUGGGAGCAGAAAGAUCGAGACAGACUCUGCUAUCUUGUCACAGCUGAAUAUUGCUUGUGAAAAUACAAACAAUGCAGCUGCAAAGACGGGGGAGUGAUUUUCCCUCAGCGUGUCUCACCAUCCCACGCUGAGUGAAAAUGCAAAUGAGUCAGGGGAUGGGGGAGGGGACAUUUGUUUCAUACAUGCUGGGAUGAGUGAAGCAACUAGCUCAAGGGCAGGCACACAGAGUCCAAACUCAGAAGGCAAGUUCACAACCUCCCCUUAUCAUGGAAACUAGGGCUUUGCCAUAGGAAAGGAGGUGGGACAAAGAGAGGAAUCUGGAUCUGAGAAUUCGCCCCUGAGGAGUGAAAUGGUUUCCUCAGAUACACAUAGCCCAGGCAUAGAAGACACACUCUGGGAGGACAUGUCAAAGCUGGGGUGGGGUGCAAAUCUCUGUCCCACCUGACACUAGGUCAUAAGAAACCAGGGGUUAAUGCUUGGUUAAGGCCAGCUCUGCAAGGAGCCAGGACAGUCCUGUCCGUCUGGACUGAUCAAAGCAGUGAGUCCUAUACAACCUCAAGGAAAACUCACAGGUGCAGCCUGGGCAGUUGGCACCUUAAUGAAAGAGAGCUCACCAUCCAUCUCACACCCUACUAGAUGAAUAGGAGGAGGAAGUAACAAGAUCAGGUCCCAGCUUCAAUCCCCAAAGCUGAAUGGAGAGUAAAGGGGGACCAGGAGGGUACAUGUGAACUCUCCUAGGUAUCUGAGUUACAUUCAUGUUUAACUAGGGGAGAUGUGAAGAAUGUGUGGUUACGCUGUAACAAUAUACGAAUGUUAUAUGUUC
Long non-coding RNA from Mauremys reevesii (Reeves's turtle), 977 nucleotides. RefSeq lists it as uncharacterized. The record is from RefSeq and is a predicted model, not a curated record. NCBI's taxonomy places the organism in Eukaryota, Metazoa, Chordata, Testudines, Geoemydidae. The transcript has 2 exons.